AAGUCGUAACAAGGUUUCCGUAGGUGAACCUGCGGAAGGAUCAUUACUGGAAGGGGGGAGGAAAUGGACCUGUUGCCAGGACGUUUAUAUGUACAUCUACGUUGGAUUUAUAUUGAUCGAAUCAAUUCAUAUGAUGACAUAUAUGAGACAUCAACUUGACUUGGCACCAUGGAUCUCUCGGCUCUGG
Molecule: unclassified non-coding RNA, 187 nt
Filed under: fungal sp.
Lineage: Eukaryota; Fungi
Description: partial internal transcribed spacer region
Rfam family: Eukaryotic small subunit ribosomal RNA (bases 1-46)
Source: RNAcentral